GCGGGGAUAGCUCAGCUGGGAGAGCGUCAGACUGAAGUACAACUUCAUUCUAACAUCUGAAGGUCGUGUGUUCGAUCCACACUCACCGCA
This 90-nucleotide transfer RNA is filed under the name Daldinia bambusicola. Its description in RNAcentral is "tRNA-Phe". It matches the Rfam family "tRNA". From Rfam's summary of the family: Transfer RNA (tRNA) molecules are approximately 80 nucleotides in length. Their secondary structure includes four short double-helical elements and three loops (D, anti-codon, and T loops). Further hydrogen bonds mediate the characteristic L-shaped molecular structure. tRNAs have two regions of fundamental functional importance: the anti-codon, which is responsible for specific mRNA codon recognition, and the 3' end, to which the tRNAs corresponding amino acid is attached (by aminoacyl-tRNA synthetases). tRNAs cope with the degeneracy of the genetic code in two manners: having more than one tRNA (with a specific anti-codon) for a particular amino acid; and 'wobble' base-pairing, i.e. permitting non-standard base-pairing at the 3rd anti-codon position. The record is from RNAcentral. Lineage: Eukaryota; Fungi; Ascomycota; Sordariomycetes; Xylariales; Hypoxylaceae.